AUCACAGUGCAUCUUCCGAGCACUGCGAGAUUAAACUGAAACGGACAAUUAAAUAGAGAAUAAUACAUGGUGCGCGGAAAUACCAGAUUUAUUUCGAGUGUUUAACAUGAUAUCUCACGAGUGAGCGCAGCGAACGAGUGAGAUAUCGUGUUCAACACGAGAAAUAAAUCUGGUAUUUCCAAGCACCCAUGUAUUUUUCUGUUUAUUAUAUAAAGGACAGUCUUUGAAAAGCGAUAAUUUUUACAGAAAAGCGAUAAUUGAAAAGCGAUAAUUUUCACAUGUGAGAUUAUU
Non-coding RNA from Paramuricea clavata, 291 nucleotides. The record is from the annotation of a GenBank genome assembly. NCBI's taxonomy places the organism in Eukaryota, Metazoa, Cnidaria, Anthozoa, Malacalcyonacea, Plexauridae.